Molecule: ribosomal RNA, 300 nt
Filed under: uncultured Halopiger sp.
Lineage: Archaea; Methanobacteriati; Methanobacteriota; Halobacteria; Halobacteriales; Natrialbaceae
Description: bacterial SSU rRNA
Rfam family: Bacterial small subunit ribosomal RNA
Source: RNAcentral
GGCAACUAGGGGCCAGCGGCCGUGGUAAUACGGAGGGUGCAAGAGUUAAUCUGAAAGACUGGGCGUAAAGCGUGCGCAGGCGGUAGUGCAAGACAGAUGUGAAAUGCCCGGGCUCAACCUGGGAACUGCAUUUGUGACUGCACGGCUGGAGUGCGGCAGAGGGGGAUGGAAUUCCGCGUGUAGCAGUGAAAUGCGUAGAUAUGCGGAGGAACACCGAUGGCGAAGGCAAUCCCCUGGGCCUGCACUGACGCUCAUGCACGAAAGCGUGGGGAGCAAACAGGAUUAGAUACCCUGGUAGUC